UGGUGGUUAUAGCGGAGCGGCUGCACCCGAUUCCAUUCCGAACUCGGCCGUGAAAUGCUCCUGCGCUGAUGGUACUUUGUCUUAAGACACGGGAGAGUAGGUCGCUGCCAGGUC
RNAcentral lists this ribosomal RNA (114 nucleotides) under Candidatus Tokpelaia sp. JSC161. Lineage: Bacteria; Pseudomonadati; Pseudomonadota; Alphaproteobacteria; Hyphomicrobiales. The record is from RNAcentral.